GCCGUGGCCAUCUUACUGGGCAGCAUUGGAUGGUGUCCGAUCUCUAAUACUGCCUGGUAAUGAUGACGGC
RNAcentral lists this microRNA precursor (70 nucleotides) under Dipodomys ordii (Ord's kangaroo rat). Its description in RNAcentral is "microRNA 200b (ENSDORG00000021650.2)". It matches the Rfam family "mir-8/mir-141/mir-200 microRNA precursor family". From Rfam's summary of the family: The bounds of the precursors are predicted based on conservation and base pairing and are not generally known. The record is from RNAcentral. Lineage: Eukaryota; Metazoa; Chordata; Mammalia; Rodentia; Heteromyidae.